This 175-nucleotide ribosomal RNA is filed under the name uncultured bacterium. RNAcentral's name for it is "partial 16S ribosomal RNA". It matches the Rfam family "Bacterial small subunit ribosomal RNA", at positions 118 to 291 of the family's 1533-position model. The record is from RNAcentral.
UGAGGAACAUGACCUUCGGCGGGGGAUAGCCGGCCCAACGGCCGGGUGAUACCGCGUACGACCACAUGGGGACAUCCCUGAGUGGUGAAAGCAGCAAUGCGCCGAUGGAGUGCCUCGCGGCCUAUCAGCUAGUUGGUGAGGUAACGGCUCACCAAGGCAACGACGGGUAGCUGGU